UACAGAGGUCCCAAGCGUUACUGAGAAUCACUGGGUUUAAAGGGUGCGUAGGUGGUCCGUUAAGUCAGUUGUGAAAUCCCCGGGCUCAACCCGGGAACUGCUUCUGAUACUGGCGGACUUGAGGCCAGUAGGGGUCACUAGAACUGACGGUGGAGCGGUGAAAUGCGUAGAUAUCGUCAGGAAUGCCGGUGGUGAAGACGGGUGACUGGGCUGGUUCUGACGCUGAGACACGAAAGCCAGGGGAGCGAACGGG
This 253-nucleotide ribosomal RNA is filed under the name uncultured bacterium. Its description in RNAcentral is "partial 16S ribosomal RNA". It matches the Rfam family "Bacterial small subunit ribosomal RNA", at positions 524 to 776 of the family's 1533-position model. The record is from RNAcentral.